This 253-nucleotide ribosomal RNA is filed under the name uncultured bacterium. RNAcentral's name for it is "partial 16S ribosomal RNA". It matches the Rfam family "Bacterial small subunit ribosomal RNA", at positions 524 to 776 of the family's 1533-position model. The record is from RNAcentral.
GACGGAGGAUGCAAGCGUUAUCCGGAAUGAUUGGGCGUAAAGCGUCCGCAGGUGGCAGUUCAAGUCUGCUGUCAAAGACCGGGGCUUAACUUCGGAAAGGCAGUGGAAACUGAACAGCUAGAGUAUGGGAGAGGGCAGUGGAAUUCCCGGUGUAGCGGUGAAAUGCGUAGAUAUCGGGAGGAACAUCAGUGGCGAAGGCGGCUGCCUGGCCCAAUACUGACACUCAGGUGCGACAGCGUGGGGAGCAAACAGG